CCUACGGGAGGCUGCAGUGAGGAAUAUUGGUCAAUGGGCGGAAGCCUGAACCAGCCAAGUAGCGUGCGGGAUGACUGCCCUACGGGUUGUAAACCGCUUUUGCACGGGGAUAACACGUUCCACGUGUGGAAGUCUGUAGGUACCAUACGAAUAAGGGUCGGCUAAAUCCGUGCCAGCAGCCGCGGUAAUACGGAAGGUCCGAGCGUUAUCCGGAUUUAUUGGGGUUAAAGGGAGCGUAGGCGGGUCGUUAAGUCAGUUGGAAAAUUUGCCGGCUCAACCGUAACACUGCAGUUGAACUUGGAAGCCUUGAGUACACAACAGGCAGGCGGAAGUCGUGGUGUAGCGGUGAAAUGCAUAGAUAUCACGAGGAACCCCGAUUGCGAAGGCAGCCUACCGGAGUGCGACUGACGCUGAGGCUCGAAGGUGCGGGUAUCAAACAGGAUUAGAUACCCGUGUAGUC
Molecule: ribosomal RNA, 460 nt
Filed under: uncultured bacterium
Lineage: Bacteria
Description: partial 16S ribosomal RNA
Rfam family: Bacterial small subunit ribosomal RNA
Source: RNAcentral